UUCGCACAGUUUCUUAUUGAGUUUAGUGCCCACUCUGGCCGGAUAUAGCUUAUGCCUCGAUUCUCUCGAUCCAGUAGAUUACGCUGUUAUUAUGAAACUCUCCUUAAUGACUUAGACACAAGCAACAGGACAAGUAGGGCAGGGCCCGGCCGACGUAAAGAACUUAUUGCGCCGAGUCAAACACUAUAAGAUUGCUCAGCUC
Molecule: long non-coding RNA, 202 nt
Filed under: Musa acuminata (dwarf banana)
Lineage: Eukaryota; Viridiplantae; Streptophyta; Magnoliopsida; Zingiberales; Musaceae
Description: long non-coding RNA (MACU_LNC010985)
Source: RNAcentral